UCGGGGACGGGACCGUGAGACUCUUGUCAAGACCGUUCUGAGCUUGGGAGAACUGUGAGGCCAGCCAUAACUGGAGGGGCCUCAUACUGAGCCGGGCAUGGCAGACUACGCCUAGAUCGGCGCAUGUUGACAGGAGCAGCUUCACAUGGGACUCCACCUCGAAAUGAGACUCCCCUUUGAGGAGCCAGUUGUCCAGGUUGAGACGCUGGAAGCGAUUUGGCCUUGUCCUUAGCUGGAGGGUCGUAGAGGCCCAAGGUCUGCAAGGUGGUGCGGGAAUCUUUCAUCCCAUGCAGCCCGACGUCCGUCUGGUCCGCAAAGAGCACCUUGCCAUCGAACGGAAGGUCCUGCAUCAGAGAUUGGGCCUCUGUCGACAGCCCGGACAACAGGAGCCACGAAACCCUGCGCAUGGUGAUCGCGGAAGCCAUCAAGCGGGCUGCCGUGUCAGCAGCAUCGGACGCAGCUUGCAGGGCCGCUUUAGCUGCCGCCGACCCCUCUUUUAUCAGAGCCUUGAAGUCAUUCCUGUCCCGGUCUGGGAGGAGGGGCUCAAAUUUAGGCAGGGACUCCCAGAGUCUGAAGUCGUACCUGCUCAGUACGGCCUGGUGAUUGGCUAAGCAAAGCUGGAAACUAGCCGACUAAUAAAAUUUUCUGCCAGACUA
Molecule: long non-coding RNA, 656 nt
Organism: Malaclemys terrapin pileata
Lineage: Eukaryota; Metazoa; Chordata; Testudines; Emydidae
Exons: 3
Source: RefSeq, a predicted model, not a curated record